GGAAUCUGCCUGGUAGUGGGGGACAACGUUUCGAAAGGAACGCUAAUACCGCAUACGUCCUACGGGAGAAAGCAGGGGACCUUCGGGCCUUGCGCUAUCAGAUGAGCCUAGGUCGGAUUAGCUAGUUGGUGAGGUAAUGGCUCACCAAGGCGACGAUCCGUAACUGGUCUGAGAGGAUGAUCAGUCACACUGGAACUGAGACACGGUCCAGACUCCUACGGGAGGCAGCAGUGGGGAAUAUUGGACAAUGGGCGAAAGCCUGAUCCAGCCAUGCCGCGUGUGUGAAGAAGGUCUUCGGAUUGUAAAGCACUUUAAGUUGGGAGGAAGGGCAGUAAAUUAAUACUUUGCUGUUUUGACGUUACCGACAGAAUAAGCACCGGCUAACUCUGUGCCAGCAGCCGCGGUAAUACAGAGGGUGCAAGCGUUAAUCGGAAUUACUGGGCGUAAAGCGCGCGUAUGUGGUUCGUUAAGUUGGAUGUGAAAUCCCCGGGCUCA
RNAcentral lists this ribosomal RNA (495 nucleotides) under Pseudomonas sp. RNAcentral describes it as "bacterial SSU rRNA". It matches the Rfam family "Bacterial small subunit ribosomal RNA", at positions 121 to 611 of the family's 1533-position model. Lineage: Bacteria; Pseudomonadati; Pseudomonadota; Gammaproteobacteria; Pseudomonadales; Pseudomonadaceae. The record is from RNAcentral.